UAUCUCGAGCAAGAUUUUUACAAAUAUCUGAACUUUUCUAAGUUAAUGACAUGUAAUUUAGGAUAAGCAUAAUUGAGUGAAGCAUGAUGUGUAUAACAUAGAACUCUGUAGAGUCCAUAUCCCACAUAGACACUAAGCCAGUGCAAAUGCUUCUACUAUUCUAGUUGUUCAUGUAACCCAUUAAAACCUUAAGCGACAGUUGAAAGUAAGGGCUUUGGUUCAGGCCUGCAUUAGUUUCUA
Molecule: long non-coding RNA, 240 nt
Filed under: Olea europaea (common olive)
Lineage: Eukaryota; Viridiplantae; Streptophyta; Magnoliopsida; Lamiales; Oleaceae
Description: long non-coding RNA (OEUR_LNC014840)
Source: RNAcentral